This 317-nucleotide small RNA is filed under the name Pongo abelii (Sumatran orangutan). Its description in RNAcentral is "processed transcript". The record is from RNAcentral. Lineage: Eukaryota; Metazoa; Chordata; Mammalia; Primates; Hominidae.
ACCUGGUUGGAGUUGACAGCCUCAUCGGGCCAGAGACACAGAUUGGAGAGAAGUCAUCCAUUAAGCGCUCAGUCAUUGGCUCAUCCUGCCUCAUAAAAGAUAGAGUGACUAUUACCAAUUGCCUUCUCAUGAACUCAGUCACUGUGGAGGAAGGGGUCAUAAGUAGUUUAGAAAGCCUGUCAACUAAUCUUCAAAACAGAAAAGAACCUGCCUAUCCUCAGAGUUACUGAAAAGUUUCAUGGCUCUUUGCCGAAUAUUCUCUAAGUCAAUAUCUGAGGCAGGAGCCCGUGAUACAGUGGAGUGUCACUUUAGGCCUG